UACGUAGGCAGCGAGCGUUGUUCGGAUUUACUGGGCGUAAAGCGUGCGUAGGCGGUGGUCCAAGUCUGGUGUGAAAUCUCCCGGCUUAACUGGGAGGGUGCGCCGGAAACUGGGCCGCUGGAGUACGGGAGAGGCAAGCGGAAUUCCAGGUGUAGCGGUGAAAUGCGUAGAUAUCUGGAGGAACACCCGUGGUGAAGACGGCUUGCUGGACCGUGACUGACGCUGAGGCACGAAAGCGUGGGUAGCAAACAGG
This 253-nucleotide ribosomal RNA is filed under the name uncultured bacterium. RNAcentral describes it as "partial 16S ribosomal RNA". It matches the Rfam family "Bacterial small subunit ribosomal RNA", at positions 524 to 776 of the family's 1533-position model. The record is from RNAcentral.